This 16-nucleotide transfer RNA is filed under the name Alytes cisternasii (Iberian midwife toad). RNAcentral's name for it is "partial tRNA-Gln". RNAcentral also lists the same sequence under 1 other name. Lineage: Eukaryota; Metazoa; Chordata; Amphibia; Anura; Alytidae. The record is from RNAcentral.
CUAGAAAGACAGGAAU